Phragmites australis (common reed) is the source of this 615-nucleotide long non-coding RNA. RefSeq lists it as uncharacterized. The transcript has 3 exons. The record is from RefSeq and is a predicted model, not a curated record. Lineage: Eukaryota; Viridiplantae; Streptophyta; Magnoliopsida; Poales; Poaceae.
UUUCCCCCACCUCUCCCACUUGGUGCAAACAGCAGCAGCAAGCUGCAACCAUUUUAGCACAUCCUCUCACUUCACUCCUUCUAAUCCCUACCAAGAUCCAAGAUUCACCUAGAGCGUGAUUCUCUAUUGGAAAGCUUAGCUCAACUAUCCAUCCAUAGCCAUGCCUUGGAUAGAAGGAUUAGCUUCCCCACUUGCUUAUCUUUCCAUCAAUCCAAGCGGUAUUCACAUGCAUAAAGAUUUGGAAUAAUGUAUUCCUUGGAGGCCUUCACUGCUAGUAGGAAGGUAAGGAGGAGCCUCUGCAACUACAGAAAGAUCAAGGAGUCUCGAGUAGCAGCCACACAAGAAGGGAGGACCAACGCCGAGCAAAGAGAAGGAGCAAGUCGAUGCACACGUGCUUUUUUUCAUCUUUGUUGAGUUCUACCUCCGAGAACAGCACUUGCUUUCGUGAGGCUCUAAUGCUUUUCUUGUUUCCUCUUAUUCCCACUAAUUUAAGUGUGAAAAUCACAGUAAAAUAUCUAAUCUCAAACCGUGUUAGAAAGAGAUUUAGCAUUUAAUUGUUGAAUCUUGUAAAAUCCGUAGGAAAAUUAAUACAAAUGCAAAUGAGGUGAAACUAAC